This is a long non-coding RNA of Papaver somniferum (opium poppy), 1829 nucleotides long. RefSeq lists it as uncharacterized. The record is from RefSeq and is a predicted model, not a curated record. The transcript is spliced from 2 exons. Lineage: Eukaryota; Viridiplantae; Streptophyta; Magnoliopsida; Ranunculales; Papaveraceae.
UCUUUCUUCCUUUCCUCUCUGAGUUUUUCAUCUGCAACAAUGGUGGUUGAGUGAAAUAGAUCGAGUGAGGUUUAUGUUCAACUACUUGUGUUUAGAGCUUAGUAGAGAUUUUGUGACAUACAGGUUGAAAACAAGGAGCUGUUUGUUGAAUACAACCAAUUGAUAGUUGAAUACAAGGAAAACAAGGAUUCUGUUAGAAGAGAUCGUCAAAAUGUUAACGAGUCAGGAAAGUGAAUAGGUUUGGAAGUUUGGGAGAAUGGGUUUGUGUCUGAUUUGAAAUUGGCAAUUUGAGUCGGGGGUUGGGUUUUGUAGUUUGAUUUCGGGGUCUCUGUCAGUUUAGAGAUGGAGCAGAUGAAGAUGUGUUUAAUCUUGAAACCCAGAAGAAAUUAGAAGUGGGUUUUUCUCAUUUGAAUAUUUAAUAGGGGUUAUGUGGAGAUAGAGGUCGAGAAGCUACAUAAAUUGUUGGUAAUUUGAGUUUGAGAUGAAUUUAGGGUUCUUCAUGAGAUGUUGCAGAUUUAUGGGGAAUUCAUGUAUUACAGAGAAGAUUGAGAAUCCGGUGCUGUUAUUGAAUUCAUAUGAAGGGAGAUGGUCUUAGAAGCUACAGGAAUCAGGGAAAGAGAACAAUAAUGGUUGUUGAGAUGAGUUUGCAGUUUAGCAGGUGCAGUGGUUGUGGAGACAAUGAAGCUGCAGUUCAGUGAGAUGGUGCAAGGUAGUGAUGAUGGAGUUUGUAAUGGUUUUGAGUAGUGGAUGUGUUGUUGUUGGUGGUUAAGAAGAAGUUGUUCCUGCAAUGAGUCUGUGAUUGUGCUGGUAACAGUGAAGGAAUUGAUGGUGGUUUGCCUGCGAGUUAUGCGAAGUUUGGUUGUUGUGACUGAAUGGAUACUUGGCGUCUAUGUAUGAAUGUUGUUAUUGAAUUGCGAAUGCAUAACUGCAGUUGGAAGCAAGAGCUGAGAAAUUGUUGUUGAAUGAAAUAAUAGAUGAAUGUUAGGAUUUAAUGUAGGGAGACCGGAAGAAUGUGUGCUGCUGAGUUUAUAAGAUUGCAGGGGAGAAUUUGUGUUGAGUUGAUUUGCAGGCAAGGGUUAGUUGUACCAUGAAUGGUUGGUGGUAAUGGAGUUGCUGCUUUGUGGUAUUGAGUUAAAUUGCCAGAGAAAUUGAAGAAAUCGUGGUGUUUGAUACAGAAACUGAACUGUGCUGCUGUGUAGAUGCAAUUGCAGGAGAUGGAGUUGUUGUGACUGAAGUGAUGAAUAUGGAAGGGAGAAAAGGACUGCAACAGAUGAAUGAGUAUGAAGACCAGAUGUAUGCUUAGGAUUUGAAUCUGUAAGCUGAUGGGUUGAAGGAAUUGAAUUGCAACAGUACAGUUCAAAUGGCUUGAUUGAAUUGCAGGAGAUAUGCUGAGAUGAACCAGGUAAUGAUGCUGGUGGCUUCAGACAGAGUGUUCGAGUAUUCUGUGUGUGUGUUGUGUGAAAUGCUUGUGGUGUUUAAUGAUAGAUGGAAGGGAUGUAGAGCACCAGAGUUGCAUUACAGGGAGGGAAGUUGCAGGAUGAAGCGCCAUCAUGUGGCAACGUUAGGCAUAGGCAGUGUGAAUGGCUCAGGCCUUGGCAAGUUGCUGGGUGAGAUGAGUUAACUGCAGUUAAAGAGUUUGAGUCAAGUGGGAGGGUAUUUUGGAGAGAAUUAACUGCGUUUUUUUGCCGAACUGUUUUCUCGGCCAAAAUAUGACCAAUUUGUAAACCAAAUUAUAAAGUUUGAUCGUUUUGUAACUGAAUUACCAAAAGUAUGACCAUUUUGUAAAUGUCCCAAUUACAAUCUCACAAAUCACAAUCUGUAAUGUAUAC